CCUACGAGCGGCAGCAGUGAGGAAUAUUGGUCAAUGGUCGGGAGACUGAACCAGCCAAGCCGCGUGAGGGAGGAAGGUACAGAGUAUCGUAAACCUCUUUUGUCAGGGAACAAAGACUGGGACGCGUCCCCGGAUGAGUGUACCUGAAGAACAAGCAUCGGCUAACUCCGUGCCAGCAGCCGCGUUAAUACGGAGGAUGCGAGCGUUAUCCGGAUUUAUUGGGUUUAAACGGUGCGCAGGCGGUCUGUUAUGUCACCGGUCAAAGCCCGGGGCUCACCCCCGGCCCGCCGUUGAAACUGGCAGUCUCGAGUUGGAGAGAAGUAUGCAGAAUGCGAGGUGUAGCGGUGAAAUGCAUAGAUAUCGCGCAGAACUCCGAUUGCGAAGGCAGCAUGCCGGCUCCACACUGACGCUGAGGCACGAAAGCGUGGGUAUCGAACAGGAUUAGAUACCCUUGUAGUC
Molecule: ribosomal RNA, 459 nt
Filed under: uncultured bacterium
Lineage: Bacteria
Description: partial 16S ribosomal RNA
Rfam family: Bacterial small subunit ribosomal RNA
Source: RNAcentral